UCUCCGUAGGGUGAACCUGCGGAAGGGAUCAUUAACGCGCAGGGCCGG
This 48-nucleotide ribosomal RNA is filed under the name Trichophyton rubrum. RNAcentral's name for it is "partial 18S ribosomal RNA". Lineage: Eukaryota; Fungi; Ascomycota; Eurotiomycetes; Onygenales; Arthrodermataceae. The record is from RNAcentral.